Molecule: long non-coding RNA, 613 nt
Filed under: Lepisosteus oculatus (spotted gar)
Lineage: Eukaryota; Metazoa; Chordata; Actinopteri; Semionotiformes; Lepisosteidae
Description: lncRNA (ENSLOCG00000022115.1)
Source: RNAcentral
UCUAAUGUUUAAUUUUAUUUUUCUUUCUCUCAUUUUUCUUUUUUCUUAUAGAUUCUCACCACAGGUAUAUUUUCAAUCUGAAGAAUAUUUUUCUACUGAUGAACUAACAAUUGUAAACAGUUAUGAGCUUCCAACAAAAAUGGACCAUGUAGUGAGGAGGAAUGUGACUGAGCGCAGCUGGUUCAGUGAUGGGGAUGAUGAUUCUGAACCUUCCAAAGAAGAUAACCGAUAUGAUCGAUCUUGUCCUCCACAUUUCUCAUCUCCAGGCCUGGGAAAGUUCCAGAACAUUCCUCCAAAUCUUCCUGAAAGAAAUUUACCAGGUAAUUUGUGCAAACUAUUAUCUUACUUGUAUUUUGAUAAUAAUGAGCUGAAGUUAAACAGAAAAAUCAUUCUAAAAGAAGAAAGAAUGAUCAAAUAUGGUAGGUGUAAAAAUUGCAUAUUAUCCAUUUUAUUUUUGUAUCAUUAAGAGAUUAUGACUAUUAAUAAUUAGAUUAUUGUUGUUUUUAUUGCAUAUGUGUUAAGAAGAUUAAACUGCUAAAAAGCUAAGCAAAAGGAAAAUCGUCUUACUUACCUUCAUAAUAUUUGCUUUUUUAAAAGGACUGAAGACCAUAAU